UAUUUGAUAGUACCUAUCCUACAUGGAUAACAGUGGUAAUUCUAGAGCUAAUACAUGCUAAAAGCCCCGACUUCGGAAGGGGCGUAUUUAUCAGAAUCAGAACCAAUGCCCUUCGGGGCUCCCUGGUGGCUCAUGAUAACUCCACAGAUCGCAUGGCCUUGCGCCGGCGAUGGCUCAUUCAAAUUUCUUCCCUAUCAACUUUCGACGGUACGGUCUUGGCCUACCGUGGUUGCAACGGGUGACGGAGGGUUAGGGCUCGACCCCGGAGAGGGAGCCUGAGAAACGGCUACCACAUCCAAGGAAGGCAGCAGGCGCGCAAAUUAUCCAAUCCCGACUCGGGGAGAUAGUGACAAUAAAUACCGAUACAGGGCUCUUUUGGGCCCCGUAAUUGGAAUGAGUACAAUUUAAACCUCUUAACGAGGAACAAUUGGAGGGCAAGUCUGGUGCCAGCAGCCGCGGUAAUUCCAGCUCCAAUAGCGUAUAUUAAAGUUGUUGUGGUUAAAAAGCUCGUAGUCGAACCUCGAGCCCGGCCGGCCGGUCCGCCUCACCGCGUGCACUGGUCUGGCCGAGCUCUUCCCUCUGCGGAACCUCAUGUCCUUAACUGGGCGUGCUGGGGAGGCAGGACUUUUACUUUGAAAAAAUUAGAGUGCUCAAGGCAGGCCAAUGCUCGGAUACAUUAGCAUGGAAUAAUAGAAUAGGACGUUGGUUCUAUUUUGUUGGUUUCUAGGACCGCCGUAAUGAUCAAUAGGGACGGUCGGGGGCAUCAGUAUUCAGCCGCGAGAGGUGAAAUUCUUAGACCGGCUGAAGACUAACUACUGCGAAAGCAUUUGCCAAGGACGUUUUCGCUGAUCAGGAACGAAAGUUAGGGGAUCGAAGACGAUCAGAUACCGUCGUAGUCUUAACCAUAAACGGUGCCGACUUGGGAUCGGGCGCUGUUCUCUCUAGACGCGCUCGGCACCAUUCGAGAAAUCAAAGUGCGUGGGCUCCAGGGGGAGUAUGGCGGCAACGCUGAAACUUAAAGAAAUUGACGGAAGGGCACCACCAGGGGUGGAACCUGCGGCUUAAUUUGACUCAACACGGGGAAACUCACCAGGUCCGGACACAAUGAGGAUUGACAGAUUGAGAGCUCUUUCUUGAUUUUGUGGGUGGUGGUGCAUGGCCGUUCUUAGUUGGUGGGGUGACUUGUCUGCCUAAUCGCGAUAACGAACGAGACCUUGACUGCUAAAUAGCACGCGCCGCCUCGGCGGUGUCGCGGCUUCUUAGUGGGACUAUCGGCUCAAGCCGAUGGAAGUUCGAGGCAAUAACAGGUCUGUGAUGCCCUUAGAUGUCCUGGGCCGCACGCGCGUGACACUGACAGAGCCAGCGAGUUCUUCCCUUGGCCGGAAGGCCCGGGUAAUCUUGUGAAACUCCGUCGUGAUGGGGAUAGAGCAUUGCAAUUGUUGCUCUUCAACGAGGAAUCCCUAGUAAGCGCAAGUCAUCAGCUUGCGUUGAUUACGUCCCUGCCCUUUGUACACACCGCCCGUCGCUACUACCGAUUGAAUGGCUCAGUGAGGUUUUCGGACUGGCCCAGGAAGGCGGGAGACUGCUAUCCAGGGCCGGAAAGUUGCCCAAACUCGGUCAUUUAGAGGAAGUAAA
RNAcentral lists this ribosomal RNA (1635 nucleotides) under Bactrodesmium diversum. RNAcentral describes it as "SSU rRNA". It matches the Rfam family "Eukaryotic small subunit ribosomal RNA". Lineage: Eukaryota; Fungi; Ascomycota. The record is from RNAcentral.